GAGGGCGGGGCGGGGGCCUACAUCACGUCUUCCCUUCACAUUUGCCCUCUCGGAGCCUGGCAGUGCCCCGAGGAGUCAACACAGGGGGAUAGAGCGCCUUCCUCACAUAAACACAGUGCGGAGCCGCCCCUCCGUCCUGCAUCCUGUCGUGAGGCACAAGCGUCCCUUCCCUCCGCCCCACGGCUCCUUCCAUUCCCUUCCCGUGCUGACUUCUCUCUGCUUCCCCAGCUCCGGCGCGAGGUCCCCACGAGGUCUCCCGAUGCUCUCCGGGGUUCUGCCCAGCUGGUCGCUCCCCGUCCCGGCGGCCGCUGCUAUGGCCGUGCUGGGGCUGGAGCCUCGCUUGCCGAUGCCGGAGUCACUUAGUGAUUUCAUGAUUGAAGCAGGCUAGAAAUGGAUGAUCACACCUAAACUGAAAGCAGUCCUCAGGAUUCCUUAGGAAUGAAUAAUACCUUCUGUUAAGAAGAGUUCAAGUGUGUUGGUGCUCCUUGACUGCCUAGAAUAUGCCUCAUGAGAUAGAGAUAAACAAUAUGGAGUCAAAAGAGUUCCUUGUAAAUUGAUUGGUCUUCCAGACUUGCCCUGGACCAGAAUAUGUGCUAAUUGUAUGGGCAAGGAAAAUCUUGUCCUGGGAAAUGUAAUCUUUAUGGAGAAAUGCCCUUGAUUAAAGAGAGAAAACCAGCAAGGGAUGUGCAAGGCAUCAGAACUGAUCUGUUGAGUGGAUGAUUGCAGACUUCACACAAGAUCACUCAGUUGUCCUAUGUAAUGUUUUGUCCUGAACUGAAACUGACUCAGACUAUUACAUCUUCAAUGCUCAUGUUUAAACAAUCUAGCCAUUGGUUGCAACAGAAGUUUCUUAAAAGCUGGGGCAAUUUAUUUCUGUAUGGAUUGACUGAAAUAAAGUUAAUACACGAA
Molecule: long non-coding RNA, 909 nt
Organism: Lagopus muta (rock ptarmigan)
Lineage: Eukaryota; Metazoa; Chordata; Aves; Galliformes; Phasianidae
Exons: 5
Source: RefSeq, a predicted model, not a curated record